Molecule: ribosomal RNA, 377 nt
Filed under: Ogloblinia argenteopilosa
Lineage: Eukaryota; Metazoa; Arthropoda; Arachnida; Opiliones; Gonyleptidae
Description: partial small subunit ribosomal RNA
Source: RNAcentral
AGAUACCCUAGUAUUAUAAUGAAAAUCUGGAGUAGUAUAUAAUUGAAAAUUAAUAAGGCUUGGUGGUUAAUCAUUUUUUUAGAGGAGCUUGUUUAUUUAUAAGAAAUUACUCUUUAUAUUUAAUACAUAUAUUGUUUAUUCAUCUCUGUCAUUAGUUUAAUAAUAAAAGAUUUUAUUUUAUAUCUCAGGUCAAGAUGUAGCUUUUAUAAGAAUUAAUUAGCUACAAUUAUGUAAUAUAUGGAUUUUUUGAGGUAUAUUUUUAAUAAAAUUGAAUUUAAUUGUAAUAAUUUUUGGUUAAAAAACUAUUAUGAGAAUUAGGUGGUUUGUAUACAUAUUGCCCGUCACUUCUAAGAUAAAUUAGAAUAAGUCGUAACAAA